Molecule: ribosomal RNA, 1287 nt
Filed under: metagenome
Description: bacterial SSU rRNA
Rfam family: Bacterial small subunit ribosomal RNA
Source: RNAcentral
UAGCUAGUUGGUGAGGUAAAGGCUUACCAAGGCGACGAUCUGUAGCGGGUCUGAGAGGAUGAUCCGCCACACUGGAACUGAGACACGGUCCAGACUCCUACGGGAGGCAGCAGUGGGGAAUUUUGGACAAUGGGGGCAACCCUGAUCCAGCCAUGCCGCGUGAGUGAAGAAGGCCUUCGGGUUGUAAAGCUCUUUCGGCCGGAAAGAAAUCGCAUGGGUCAAUACCCUGUGUUGGUGACGGUACCGGAAUAAGAAGCACCGGCUAACUACGUGCCAGCAGCCGCGGUAAUACGUAGGGUGCGAGCGUUAAUCGGAAUUACUGGGCGUAAAGCGUGCGCAGGCGGUUUUGUAAGACAGGCGUGAAAUCCCCGGGCUUAACCUGGGAACUGCGUUUGUGACUGCAAGGCUAGAGUACGGCAGAGGGGGGUGGAAUUCCACGUGUAGCAGUGAAAUGCGUAGAGAUGUGGAGGAACACCAAUGGCGAAGGCAGCCCCCUGGGUCGAUACUGACGCUCAUGCACGAAAGCGUGGGUAGCAAACAGGAUUAGAUACCCUGGUAGUCCACGCCCUAAACUAUGUCAACUAGGUGUUGGGUGGGUAAAACCAUUUAGUACCGUAGCUAACGCGUGAAGUUGACCGCCUGGGGAGUACGGCCGCAAGGUUAAAACUCAAAGGAAUUGACGGGGACCCGCACAAGCGGUGGAUGAUGUGGAUUAAUUCGAUGCAACGCGAAAAACCUUACCUACCCUUGACAUGCCAGGAACUUGCCAGAGAUGGCUUGGUGCCCGAAAGGGAGCCUGGACACAGGUGCUGCAUGGCUGUCGUCAGCUCGUGUCGUGAGAUGUUGGGUUAAGUCCCGCAACGAGCGCAACCCUUGUCGUUAAUUGCCAUCAUUUGGUUGGGCACUUUAACGAGACUGCCGGUGACAAACCGGAGGAAGGCGGGGAUGACGUCAAGUCCUCAUGGCCCUUAUGGGUAGGGCUUCACACGUCAUACAACGGUCGGUACAAAGGGUUGCCAAGCCGCGAGGCGGAGCCAAUCCCAGAAAGCCGAUCGUAGUCCGGAUUGCAGGCUGCAACUCGCCUGCAUGAAGUCGGAAUCGCUAGUAAUCGUGGAUCAGCAUGUCACGGUGAAUACGUUCCCGGGUCUUGUACACACCGCCCGUCACACCAUGGGAGCGGGUUCCGCCAGAAGUAGGUAGCCUAACCGCAAGGGGGGCGCUUACCACGGCGGGGUUCGUGACUGGGGUGAAGUCGAAACAAGGUAGCCGUAGGGGAACCUGCGGCUG